Molecule: non-coding RNA, 2399 nt
Organism: Paramormyrops kingsleyae
Lineage: Eukaryota; Metazoa; Chordata; Actinopteri; Osteoglossiformes; Mormyridae
Source: RefSeq, a predicted model, not a curated record
UUUGUUGAAAGAUAUCAUAGCCAGAAAACUGAAUAAAGUUAAUUUUACCAUGGCGCCAGAGUUAAGGUUUAAACCCGAACCCACUUUCAGGUAUGCCUCCCUGCUAUUCUCUAUUGAUGAUGUAUACAUGUACGGAAAUGGAAUCUCAACGCCAUGGUAAAGUUAGCUUUAUAUGCAGUUUUCUGGGUGUAAUAUCUUUCAAUGUUUUUUUUUAUAUAUAUUUCAAUGUUUGUGUGGACACUUAAUGUUCAAUAGCCCAUUUGUCUUGCUUAAAGACACUGGCGGUAAAAUCAAUGAGUAUAGACCCUUUGCAAACACGUGACCACGACCACGUGACGACGCCAUGCUGGAUGGCAAAAUCACUGAACGCGCAGGCUGAGCAGUAGUAGACGAGCGGGAAAUUUGAAUAGUUUUAAACAGAUUAAAAUAGAUAACGUUAACGUUACCACUAAACUUCAUGGCUUCUUCUAUUGAAGAAGUUGUAGUGCCGUUAUCAGUCGAGGUAGGGCAUCUGGUAAGUGCUCACAAAGAACGAUAUUUGGAGAAGUUGGAGAUAGCAGGUUUGGAUACAGACCCUUACCUUCUUCCUCCCUCAGUUUUCACGGACCUCAUUAAAUCGCCGAGUCUGCCUGACUUCGGCCCACACGAUUUGUACCACUAUGUGGUAAACGGGGUAUCCCCAUACACUGGUGCUGAUCUCAAAGCUUUUAAAAGUCUGGAUGCUUACCAGUUCUUUGUAGCUGGCUGGGUUACAGGAACGCGAUGCUACACUAACGGCGGGGGGAGGGACCUCAUAAUGGCAAAGGUAAGACAUCGAUCUAUGGUUUAUUUUGUAUUAUUACAUGGCUUAGUUGAAUUCUAAUGUAGAAUGCGGUCUGUUAUUUCUUGAUAAAUAUUUAUAUAACACGUAGCCUAUGAUUUUAGAGGACAUGGUCGGCCGUGGCUUUUUAAUGGAUGCCUGGACGCAUCCCAGCUCGGGGAAGUGCAUUCAUUAAUUAUCGAUCACACGUUAAUCCAUGCAGACAGUAAAUCACGGUGUGUCUGUGAUCCGUAGUAAUCACAAGGGGCAUUUAUGGUGUCACUGCAGCACUAAAUAAUAACAUCACAAUAACAUUCAUGUAAGAAUAAUGUAUUUAUGCCACUUUCUGUAAUUGUAGGUGCAUCACAGUCAGUCACUGUCUGAAACCCAACUACAACCAUGGGUAUCUUUGAAGAAGGAUGGGACAGUCUUGUGCGGCCACUGUACAUGUAAAGCGGGCCUGGGAAAGGUGUGCUCCCAUGUGACAGCUCUGCUGUAUGCAAUAGACUCUGCUGUUAAACAUCUGGAAGACAAAAGCUGCACUGAUGGGCCCAGACAGUGGGGACUUCCUCCUUUGAAAUCGGGCAAGGCUUUGUACAAAGAGGGAUCAGGAAUUGAUUUCUCAAAUCCUGCCAAAAAGCGUUGUGGUGUAAACAACCAAAGCCAUUCAGGUUGUCCAUCUGAGAAAAAAGUGUGUAUGUCUGCAGCAGCUAUAGAACAAUUCUACAAGGCUCUGGAUAAUGCAACUCCAAACCCUUCAGAGAAGAGUGGUAUCCUACGCAUACUGCCACACUACUGUAAACAGUUUCACCCAAACGUGGUGUCUCUGGGUCUACCACAGCCCCUGACUGAGUUAUACAGUGCUCAGAACCGGAAGCUGUCUGCCUCGGACCUUGAGAAAAAAUGUGAUGCGGUAUUCAAUGAUAUGGAAGUCACACCAGAGCAGAUGGGGAUGUGAACAUGAACAAAAAGCCAGAGAGACAUAUGAGGCUUACGCUGCACAACAUCAUCAGGACCUAAGUGUUCGUGAUGCUGGUCUCCACAUUGAUACCUCCCGUCCCUACCUUGGAGCAUCUCCAGAUGCCUUGCUGUCCUGCUCCUGCUGUGGCGAUGGCAUUUUGGAAAUCAAGUGCCCACACUGUGCCAAAGACACCGGAGUCCUCAGUGCCACUGAAAAGAAACAUUUCUGCAUUGAGAACACAAAUGGUACACAUGCACUUAACAGAGAUCAUCAAUACCACUACCAGGUGCAAGCCCAGUUGUUUGUGACGAAGCGGAAGUUUUGUGACUUCAUGGUGUGGUCUACAUCCAAUUUUUUUAUACAGAGAAUUUUGCCUGAUGCUGACUUUUUUACAGAAGCAGUGCAGAAUGUUGAGGCCUUCUAUAGGUCAGUCAUUUUAUCUGAGUUAUUGGCCAAGACAUAUACAUGCCCAGAUAGACUGCUGUCAGACAAAACACAGUCCACAGACUCAUGAAGUGAAUUACUAGAAUUGUUGGGUCUUUGUAAAUUAUAGUGUGGUCUAGACCUACUCCAUUUGUAAUGUUUUUCUUUUAAUUUCUUAUGAUUUGAUACUAUAAAUAAAAUGUAAUUGAAUUAUUA